GAUGAACGCUAGCGGCAGGCCUAACACAUGCAAGCCGAGGGAGGAGCUUUCGGGCUUCGACCGGCGUACGGGUGCGUAACGCGUAUACAAUCUGCCUUUCACAUAGGGAUAGCCCGAAGAAAUUUGGAUUAAUACCUAAUGGUAUAUAGGAGUGGCAUCACAUUUAUAUUAAAGCUGAGGCGGUGAAAGAUGAGUAUGCGUUCUAUUAGCUAGUUGGAGAGGUAACGGCUCCCCAAGGCGACGAUAGAUAGGGGUUCUGAGAGGGAUAUCCCCCACACUGGUACUGAGAUACGGACCAGACUCCUACGGGAGGCAGCAGUGAGGAAUAUUGGACAAUGGUCGGAAGACUGAUCCAGCCAUGCCGCGUGCAGGAAGACGGCCUUAUGGGUUGUAAACUGCUUUUGCAGGGGAAGAAUAAGGACUACGAGUAGUUUGAUGACGGUACUCUGCGAAUAAGCAUCGGCUAACUCCGUG
RNAcentral lists this ribosomal RNA (474 nucleotides) under uncultured bacterium. RNAcentral's name for it is "partial 16S ribosomal RNA". It matches the Rfam family "Bacterial small subunit ribosomal RNA", at positions 28 to 507 of the family's 1533-position model. The record is from RNAcentral.